GAUGAACGCUGGCGGCGUGCUUAACACAUGCAAGUCGAACGAAACACCUUAUUUGAUUUUCUUCGGAACUGAAGAUUUGGUGAUUGAGUGGCGGACGGGUGAGUAACGCGUGGGUAACCUGCCCUGUACAGGGGGAUAACAGUCAGAAAUGACUGCUAAUACCGCAUAAGACCACAGCACCGCAUGGUGCAGGGGGAAAAACUCCGGCGGUACAGGAUGGACCCGCGUCUGAUUAGCUGGUUGGUGAGGUAACGGCUCACCAAGGCGACGAACAGUAGCCGGCUUGGGAGAGUGAAAGGCCACAUUGGAACUGAGACCCAGCCCAAACUCCUACGGGAGGCAGCAGUGGGGAAUAUUGCACAAUGGGGGAAACCCUGAUGCAGCGACGCCGCGUGAGUGAAGAAGUAUUUCGGUAUGUAAAGCUCUAUCAGCAGGGAAGAAAAUGACGGUACCGGACAAAGAAGCCCCGGCUAACUACGUG
This 481-nucleotide ribosomal RNA is filed under the name uncultured bacterium. RNAcentral describes it as "partial 16S ribosomal RNA". It matches the Rfam family "Bacterial small subunit ribosomal RNA", at positions 28 to 507 of the family's 1533-position model. The record is from RNAcentral.